CCUAUCGACAAUGAUGAAUGAUAUCUUUUAUUUUGAAUGGCCUUGAUUUUGAAUACAAUCCCAUUGUCUCCUCUAUCUUGGGCCGGAGAUCCCAUCUCUAUCAAUGACCUUUAUGCUCAAGUCAUGGCAUAUGAGA
This 136-nucleotide small nucleolar RNA is filed under the name Setaria italica (foxtail millet). RNAcentral's name for it is "Small nucleolar RNA Z247". It matches the Rfam family "Small nucleolar RNA Z247". Rfam says of the family: Z247 is a member of the C/D class of snoRNA which contain the C (UGAUGA) and D (CUGA) box motifs. Most of the members of the box C/D family function in directing site-specific 2'-O-methylation of substrate RNAs. Lineage: Eukaryota; Viridiplantae; Streptophyta; Magnoliopsida; Poales; Poaceae. RNAcentral also lists the same sequence under 1 other name. The record is from Rfam by way of RNAcentral.